AUGAGUGGUGUUUGGUUUGUUACGGGUGGUUGGAUGUCUGCUUGAGCAGCAACUUCCACGCGUGCAUACCUCUUCARUAGUGCUACAAGGCUUAGUUUGCCUUGAGCAUCCGGUGGGUUUCCUGUGCUGCAUACCUAAUCAAUGGCAUCGUUUGGUUAUAUCAAAGUCCCUCUUCGUGAUAUGUCCCUUGGGGCAUUAAACGAACCUUGAAGCGCUCUCCAUGGUCCAUACUGUUGUUGCCUAUGCAACGAUGGCAUGGCCYUUGGAGCAUCGUUUGGUUUCUUGGAUACGGAACGCGAUGUGGGCUGUAGGGUCUUUAUCGAUUCURUUUUUGCCCUCAUUGAGUGUUCUCGCUUUUCUAAACGACCGUCUGUCAUGCAUCGGCAUGUUCGUGCAUGGUGGGCUGUGUCGAAGAGGAAUGCUACCUGGUUGAUCCUGCCAGUAGUCAUAUGCUUGUCUCAAAGAUUAAGCCAUG
Molecule: unclassified non-coding RNA, 475 nt
Filed under: Cichorium intybus (chicory)
Lineage: Eukaryota; Viridiplantae; Streptophyta; Magnoliopsida; Asterales; Asteraceae
Description: partial contains external transcribed spacer and 18S ribosomal RNA
Rfam family: Eukaryotic small subunit ribosomal RNA (bases 423-475)
Source: RNAcentral